AUCACGUUGAAACACCGGUUCCCGUGCAAUCACCGAAGUUAAGCAAAGUCGAGCCUGGUCAGUACCUAGAUGGGAAAUACCAGGUGCUGUAAG
Non-coding RNA from Acanthosepion pharaonis, 93 nucleotides. Lineage: Eukaryota; Metazoa; Mollusca; Cephalopoda; Sepiida; Sepiidae. The record is from the annotation of a GenBank genome assembly.